AUUUGAAUAGCUUAAUUAGAGCGUAAUAUUGAAGAUAUUAAGGUAAUUUAAAAUUUUCAAAUA
This 63-nucleotide transfer RNA is filed under the name Paratenetus tropicalis. RNAcentral's name for it is "tRNA-Phe". RNAcentral also lists the same sequence under 1 other name. The record is from RNAcentral. Lineage: Eukaryota; Metazoa; Arthropoda; Insecta; Coleoptera; Tenebrionidae.